Molecule: long non-coding RNA, 231 nt
Filed under: Elaeis guineensis (African oil palm)
Lineage: Eukaryota; Viridiplantae; Streptophyta; Magnoliopsida; Arecales; Arecaceae
Description: long non-coding RNA (EGUI_LNC022306)
Source: RNAcentral
CGGCUGUACGGUGGUUGGAGGAGCCGACCGACCUAAAGUCGGUAGCCAGCUGAGUGGUGUCGGGCCCCUCCAUCGGUCGGCGAGCUUCAUGUAAGUCGGCCAUAUAACCUCGAGGUUCAGUCGGUCGGGAUGGAUACGCCCGACAUACCCCCAGUCGGCGAUGGGCCGUUGGACGGCCGGCGGUUAGCCGCUGAUGGCAUCCGUCAGUCGGUCGCCCCGACCGACGAUCGG